Molecule: ribosomal RNA, 468 nt
Filed under: uncultured bacterium
Lineage: Bacteria
Description: partial 16S ribosomal RNA
Rfam family: Bacterial small subunit ribosomal RNA
Source: RNAcentral
GACGAACGCUGGCGGCGUGCUUAAUACAUGCAAGUCGAACGGACAGGCCAUGCUCUUGUGGGGUGCUCGUGUGGCGAACGGGUGAGUAAAACGUGUGUAUCCUGUACUUGUCUUUGGGAUAAAUCUAGGAAACUGGGGCUCAUAUCGGAUAGGAGCUCUUGCUGCAUGGUGGGGGUUGGUAAGAUUCGGUGGUUUGGGAUGGACUCGAAGCUUCUCCGCUUGAUGGUGGGGUAGUGGCUUACCAAGGUUUUGAAGGGUAGGCGGCCUGAGAGGGUGACCGGCCACAUUGGGACUGAGAGACGGCCCAGACGCCUACGGGAUGCAGCAGUGGAGAAUAUUGCGGAAUAGGCGGAAGCCUGAUACAACAGCGCCGCGUGCGGAAUAACGUCCUUCGAGUUAUAAACCGCUUUCGCCUGUGACGAAGCGUGAGUGACGGUAAUGGGUAAGAAAGCACCGGCUAACUACGUG